CAAUAGCGUAUAUUAAAGUUGUUGCGGUUAAAAAGCUCGUAGUUGGAUUUCUGCUGAGGACGAUCGGUCCGCCCACUGGGUGAGUAUCUGGCUCGGCCUUGGCAUCUUCUUGGAGAACGUUGCUGCACUUGACUGUGUGGUGCGGUAUCCAGGACUUUUACUUUGAGGAAAUUAGAGUGUUUCAAGCAGGCGCACGCCUUGAAUACAUUAGCAUGGAAUAAUAAGAUAGGACCUUGGUUCUAUUUUGUUGGUUGAGCCUAAAGUAAUGAUUAAUAGGGAUAGUUGGGGGCACCUGUAUUGCGUUGUCAGAGGUGAAAUUCUUGGAUUUACGCAAGACAAACAGCUGCGAAAGCGUCUGCCAAGGAUGUUUUCAUUAA
This 377-nucleotide ribosomal RNA is filed under the name uncultured eukaryote. RNAcentral's name for it is "partial 18S ribosomal RNA". It matches the Rfam family "Eukaryotic small subunit ribosomal RNA", at positions 592 to 976 of the family's 1831-position model. The record is from RNAcentral.